GCAGAGGUAGAACCCCAAAACCCCGCUGGUGCCUUCUCUCUGCAUUUCCACCGAUUUGGUGGCCGAAUAGGAAGGGAUUUGAGCGGGAAGAGUCGAAGAAAGUUUAUCGGUAUGACGUCGAAUUUAUGGCGCAAGCAAAAGUGGGCACAUAUCGGUAAGAAGUAUCCCGAUGUGAGUUGCAAAGAUGCUCCCGUUCCCCCCGCCCUCCCCGUCCCGACUUGUGACUAUGGUAAGCGAGCCGUGGUUCUUCAGUCGCUACACGAAGAUACUGCCGGUCGAGCUUACUACCUGUGCUCGGAUUAUCGUGAGUGGGAGAUGUGCUAUUUCUUCCAAUGGAUAGAUGGGCCCGAUAUGUAUGAUCAGAGGAUUCUGCAGGUGAAACGGUUUAGUCAGUAUCCGAAGCCAUUUGACAAGUUUGUUCGUUGGGUCCCCCCACCACCAAAUCCGCCAAAAUUGACGGAUAAAGAGAAGUGGCAAUUGAAGAGUAUACGUGUUGCGGAUCCUCCGUUGUGCAAUUGCGGAAAGCGAAGCGUACUUUGUGAACCUUCUGGGGGGUCGCCUUACUUUCGUUGCGAAGGGAUGACAAGUGUAAGAAAUGUGCAGGAGUCCUUGUUUACGAUAUGAAUGCGGAAGAGUAUUGUAUUAUGUAACAUGUAUAUCGAACUGUAAUGCAGCGCCAUGGUGUAACAUGUGGCUUCCGGGAUCCAUUGUACGGACCUGAUGGUCUAUGGAAAGAUGAAGAAAAAGAUGAAGUGAAGGGGAAAAGAGUUAUAGAGCCUUGUGCCCCAAGAAAGUGCCCUUGUGGUGUGAAUGUGAAUUACGGGAUAGUGCCAUCGGAACUUGGAGUGGGGUACUACUGCGGACAUGUGGUCGGCAAUGAUAUGAGAACGCGGAAAUGUUCGUGGGAGGAGUACCUCGAUAAAGGAGCGGUUGAUCAUGAGAUUGCAUGGCGGAGUAAGCGUCCUCCAAACGUGAUAUCAAGCUAUUUGGAGAACAGGAAGAAAGAAACUCGUGAUGACUACCGUGCUUUGUAUCCCCCCAUCAGAAGUACUACCAUGGCGGGUAAAGAUGUUUCGGCUACAGAGGUGGAAAUAGAGACAAUGAAGGCGCUUGUUGGUAAUUUACCCGUGGUUAUCCCGGACGACGAUGACGACGAGGUGUUAUAUGAUGGGCUAGACGAUUAGACCUAGCAGCACAAAUUGUCUUAUGUCACCUACUUAUGAACGUGAUAUGUAAUCAUUGUCGACGAGCAAUGAAUAUUUGUAAGUCGGACUUAA
RNA transcript from Phragmites australis (common reed), 1277 nucleotides. RefSeq lists it as uncharacterized. The record is from RefSeq and is a predicted model, not a curated record. Lineage: Eukaryota; Viridiplantae; Streptophyta; Magnoliopsida; Poales; Poaceae. The transcript has 4 exons.